This 431-nucleotide ribosomal RNA is filed under the name uncultured bacterium. RNAcentral's name for it is "partial 16S ribosomal RNA". It matches the Rfam family "Bacterial small subunit ribosomal RNA", at positions 29 to 507 of the family's 1533-position model. The record is from RNAcentral.
AACGAACGCUGGCGGCAGGCCUAACACAUGCAAGUCGAGCGCGCCUUCGGGUGAGCGGCGGACGGGUGAGUAACGCGUGGGAAUAUGCCCUUCUCUACGGAAUAGUCCUGGGAAACUGGGGGUAAUACCGUAUACGCCCUUUGGGGGAAAGAUUUAUCGGGGAAGGAUUAGCCCGCGUUGGAUUAGGUAGUUGGUGGGGUAAUGGCCUACCAAGCCGACGAUCCAUAGCUGGUUUGAGAGGAAGAUCAGCCACACUGGGACUGAGACACGGCCCAGACUCCUACGGGAGGCAGCAGUGGGGAAUCUUAGACAAUGGGGGCAACCCUGAUCUAGCCAUGCCGCGUGAGUGAUGAAGGCCUUAGGGUUGUAAAGCUCUUUCAGCUGGGAAGAUAAUGACGGUACCAGCAGAAGAAGCCCCGGCUAACUCCGUG